GCGGAUGUAGCACAGUGGAUCAAGGCAGUGGAUUGUGAAUCCACCAUGC
RNAcentral lists this transfer RNA (49 nucleotides) under Astragalus vesicarius subsp. carniolicus. RNAcentral's name for it is "partial tRNA-His". Lineage: Eukaryota; Viridiplantae; Streptophyta; Magnoliopsida; Fabales; Fabaceae. The record is from RNAcentral.